Molecule: non-coding RNA, 31 nt
Filed under: Rattus norvegicus (Norway rat)
Lineage: Eukaryota; Metazoa; Chordata; Mammalia; Rodentia; Muridae
Source: RNAcentral
UCCUUGAAGUAACUUCUAGAGAUUAGUGCAA